RNAcentral lists this ribosomal RNA (508 nucleotides) under uncultured Glomus. RNAcentral describes it as "SSU rRNA". It matches the Rfam family "Eukaryotic small subunit ribosomal RNA", at positions 569 to 1078 of the family's 1831-position model. The record is from RNAcentral. Lineage: Eukaryota; Fungi; Glomeromycota; Glomeromycetes; Glomerales; Glomeraceae.
AGCAGCCGCGGUAAUUCCAGCUCCAAUAGCGUAUAUUAAAGUUGUUGCAGUUAAAAAGCUCGUAGUUGAAUUUCGGGGUUAGUAGGUUGGUCAUGCCUCUGGUAUGUACUGGUCUCACUGAUUCCUCCUUCCUGAUGAGCCGUAAUGCCAUUAAUUUGGUGUUGCGGGGAAUUUGGACUGUUACUUUGAAAAAAUUAGAGUGUUUAAAGCAAGCUAACGCUUGAAUACAUUAGCAUGGAAUAAUGAAAUAGGACGUUCGAUCCUAUUUUGUUGGUUUCUAGGAUUGACGUAAUGAUUAAUAGGGAUAGUUGGGGGCAUUAGUAUUCAAUUGUCAGAGGUGAAAUUCUUGGAUUUAUUGAAGACUAACUACUGCGAAAGCAUUUGCCAAGGAUGUUUUCAUUAAUCAAGAACGAAAGUUAGGGGAUCGAAGGCGAUCAGAUACCGUCGUAGUCUUAACCAUAAACUAUGCCGACUAGGGAUCGGAUGAUGUUAAUUUUUUAAUGACUCA